UUGAAUUUCGGGGCUAGUAGGUUGGUCAUGCCUCUGGUAUGUACUGGGUCUCACUGUAAUUCCUCCUUCCUGAAUAGCCCGUAAAUGCCCAUUAACUUGGUGUUGCGGGAAUUUUGGACUGUUACUUUUGAAAAAUUAGAGUGUUUAAAGCAAGCCUAACGCUUGAAUACAUUAGCAUGGAAUAAUGAAAUAGGAACGUUCGAUCCUAUUUUGUUGGUUUCUAGGAUUGACGUAAUGAUUAAUAGGGAUAGUUGGGGGCAUUAGUAUUCAAUUCUCAGAGGUGAAAUUCUUGGAUUUAUUGAAGACUAACUACUGCGAAAGCAUUUGCCAAGGAUGUUUUCAUUAAUCAAGAACGAAAGUUAGGGGAUCGAAGACGAUCAGAUACCGUCGUAGUCUUAACCAUAAACUAUGCCGACUAGGGAUCGGAUGAUGUUAAUUUUUAAUGACUC
RNAcentral lists this ribosomal RNA (449 nucleotides) under fungal sp. RNAcentral's name for it is "SSU rRNA". It matches the Rfam family "Eukaryotic small subunit ribosomal RNA", at positions 634 to 1077 of the family's 1831-position model. The record is from RNAcentral. Lineage: Eukaryota; Fungi.